UGGGGAGUAGUGUAAUGGCUGCACGCAGGCCUUUGGAGCCUUGUAGUCGCGGUUCAAGUCCGCGCUCCCCAG
RNAcentral lists this transfer RNA (72 nucleotides) under Solirubrobacterales bacterium. Its description in RNAcentral is "tRNA-Gln". It matches the Rfam family "tRNA". From Rfam's summary of the family: Transfer RNA (tRNA) molecules are approximately 80 nucleotides in length. The record is from RNAcentral. Lineage: Bacteria; Bacillati; Actinomycetota; Thermoleophilia; Solirubrobacterales.